Molecule: small RNA, 125 nt
Filed under: Marmota monax (woodchuck)
Lineage: Eukaryota; Metazoa; Chordata; Mammalia; Rodentia; Sciuridae
Source: RNAcentral
GCCGGGUACGGUGGCACAGGCCUGUAAUCCCAGCAGCUCAGGAGGCUGAGGCAGGAGGAUUGUGAAUUUAAAGCCAGCCUAAGCAAAAGCGAGGUUCUAAGCAACUCAGUGAGACCCUGUCUCUA